This 482-nucleotide ribosomal RNA is filed under the name uncultured bacterium. Its description in RNAcentral is "partial 16S ribosomal RNA". It matches the Rfam family "Bacterial small subunit ribosomal RNA", at positions 30 to 507 of the family's 1533-position model. The record is from RNAcentral.
AUUGAACGCUGGCGGCAUGCCUUACACAUGCAAGUCGAACGGUAACUGGCCUUCUUUUUCCGACGAGUGGCUUACGGGUGAGUAAUUCAUCUGAACGUGCCCGAUCUUGGGGUAUAACGUGGCUAAAGCUUUGCUAAUACCUCAUACGAUCUACGUUUUAAAGCAGUGGACCUCAUGGCCUUUCGCGGACUCUUCCGCCGAUGGAGGAUUAGGUAGUUGUUGGGCUAAAAGCUUACCAAGCCGAGGAUCUGUAGCUGUUCUGAGAGGAUGAUCAGCCACACUGGGACUGAGACACGGACCAGACGCCUACGGGAGGCAGCAGUGGGGAAUUUUGGACAAGGGGGGAAAGCGUGAUACAGAGAGGCCGCGUGCAGGAUGAAGGAGUUCGGGUUGUAAAAUGCUUUUGUACGGAAGGAAAAGACUUCGUUUAAUACAGGAGGGUCAUGACGGUACCGGAAGAAGAAGCACCGGCUAACUACGUG